Molecule: ribosomal RNA, 538 nt
Filed under: uncultured Anaerolinea sp.
Lineage: Bacteria; Bacillati; Chloroflexota; Anaerolineae; Anaerolineales; Anaerolineaceae
Description: bacterial SSU rRNA
Rfam family: Bacterial small subunit ribosomal RNA
Source: RNAcentral
GAUGAACGCUGGCGGCGUGCUUAAUACAUGCAAGUCGAACGAGAAGUUUUUGUCUUCGGAUGGAAGCUUUCUAGUGGCGAACGGGUGAGUAACGCGUUGGUGACCUGCCCCGAAGUGGGGGAUAACAGUUCGAAAGGACUGCUAAUACCGCAUACAAUCAGUUGGGUUAGAGACCUUCUGAUAAAAGGAGUAAUUCGCUUCGGGAGGGGCCUGCGUCCCAUCAGCUAGUUGGUAGGGUAAAAGCCUACCAAGGCUAUGACGGGUAGGGGACCUGAGAGGGUGGCCCCCCACAAUGGCACUGAAACACGGGCCAUACACCUACGGGUGGCAGCAGUAGGGAAUAUUGGACAAUGGGCGAAAGCCUGAUCCAGCAACGCCGCGUGUGCGAUGACGGCCUUCGGGUUGUAAAGCACUUUUAGAGGAGAUGAGAAAGGACAGUAUCCUCUGAAUAAGCCUCGGCGAACUACGUGCCAGCAGCCGGGUAAACCGUAUGAGCUAGCGUUAUCCCGGAUUCAUUGGGCGUAAAGCGCGUGCAGGC